RNAcentral lists this small nuclear RNA (162 nucleotides) under Dasypus novemcinctus (nine-banded armadillo). RNAcentral describes it as "U1 spliceosomal RNA (ENSDNOG00000031157.1)". It matches the Rfam family "U1 spliceosomal RNA". Rfam says of the family: U1 is a small nuclear RNA (snRNA) component of the spliceosome (involved in pre-mRNA splicing). Its 5' end forms complementary base pairs with the 5' splice junction, thus defining the 5' donor site of an intron. There are significant differences in sequence and secondary structure between metazoan and yeast U1 snRNAs, the latter being much longer (568 nucleotides as compared to 164 nucleotides in human). The record is from RNAcentral. Lineage: Eukaryota; Metazoa; Chordata; Mammalia; Cingulata; Dasypodidae.
AUACUUACCUGGCAGGGGAGAUACCAUGAUCAAGAAGGUGGUUUUCCCUGGGUGAGAAUUAUCCAUUGCACUACAGAUGUGCUGACCCCUGCGAUUUUUCCAAAUGUGGGAAACUUGACUGCAUAAUUUGUGGUAGUAGGGGACGGCAUUUGCAUUCUCCCC